CCCUUAGAUGUUCUGGGCCGCACGCGUGCUACACCGAGUGGAUCAGCGGGUCAGGUUGCGCGAAAGCGUUUCCUAAUCUUUAAAUCCGCUCGUGAUGGGGAUUGACGGUUGCAAUUUUCUGUCAUGAACGAGGAAUACCUUGUAAGCGCAGGUCAUCAUCCCGCGCUGAAUACGUCCCUGCCCUUUGUACACACCGCCCGUCGCUCCUACCGAUUGAGUGGUCCGGUGAGGCUUUGGGAUCUGAGCGGAAAGAGCGUUUCGCUGUUUCUGCUCGGAAAACUCAGUCGAACCUUAUCAUUUAGAGGAAGGAGAAGUCGUAACA
RNAcentral lists this ribosomal RNA (322 nucleotides) under uncultured eukaryote. RNAcentral's name for it is "partial 18S ribosomal RNA". It matches the Rfam family "Eukaryotic small subunit ribosomal RNA", at positions 1470 to 1796 of the family's 1831-position model. The record is from RNAcentral.